Non-coding RNA from Pantherophis guttatus, 433 nucleotides. Lineage: Eukaryota; Metazoa; Chordata; Lepidosauria; Squamata; Colubridae. The record is from RefSeq and is a predicted model, not a curated record.
ACUUUAGUGUUGGAGAAGACUCCUGAGAAUACUAUGGAUCAUUGAAGAAUUCAACCCAGAGUUUUCACUUCAUGCAGAAAUGGCAAGGGUCAAAUUAUCCUACUUGAGAGACAUAUUGCAAAGACCUGGCUCUCUGGCAGGGAGAGAUGGAAGGACAUAGAAUAGGAAGAUGACCAGUAGCAAGUUUGAAGUUUAACCUUUUCACCUGCUGGAGAGAUGCCAAAGAGAUGCUAGCAAGAAAUGGACAAAUUUUCUAAUAGGUCACCAUCCACCGAGAAAAUAAAGGAUAUCUACCACAGCAGUGAAAUUGCCUGCUGUUUCUUGGCUAUGGAAGCAGGACUGCCCUAUUGUGCAACUGAAGAAAUUCCAGUGUUCCUAUCAUUUCAUGUACACUGCUCAUGAAUACAAAUAAAUGUAUUAUCCAAUCAGUGGU